UUGCUGGAACGCGCUUCGGCGCACCCAGAAACCCUUUGUGAACUUAUACCUAUUGUUGCCUCGGCGAAGGCCGGCCUCUCUUCUGAGGCCCCCCGGAGACGGGGAGCAGCCCGCCGGCGGCCAACCAAACUCUUGUUUCUUAGUGAAUCUCUGAGUAAAAAACAUAAAUGAAUCAAAACUUUCAACAACGGAUCUCUUGGUUCUGGCAUCGAUGAAGAACGCAGCGAAAUGCGAUAAGUAAUGUGAAUUGCAGAAUUCAGUGAAUCAUCGAAUCUUUGAACGCACAUUGCGCCCUCUGGUAUUCCGGAGGGCAUGCCUGUUCGAGCGUCAUUUCAACCCUCAAGCCUGGCUUGGUGUUGGGGCACUGCCUGUAAAAGGGCAGGCCCUGAAAUCUAGUGGCGAGCUCGCUAGGACCCCGAGCGUAGUAGUUAUAUCUCGUUCUGGAAGGCCCUGGCGGUGCCCUGCCGUUAAACCCCCAACUUCUGAAAUUUUGACCUCGGAUCAGGUAG
This 509-nucleotide ribosomal RNA is filed under the name fungal endophyte. RNAcentral's name for it is "eukaryotic LSU rRNA". The stretch from base 177 to 330 matches the Rfam family "5.8S ribosomal RNA". Lineage: Eukaryota; Fungi. The record is from RNAcentral.